Molecule: long non-coding RNA, 204 nt
Filed under: Carica papaya (papaya)
Lineage: Eukaryota; Viridiplantae; Streptophyta; Magnoliopsida; Brassicales; Caricaceae
Description: long non-coding RNA (CPAP_LNC011891)
Source: RNAcentral
ACAACUUAUCCUACACUCUAUGAAAAACAUGCACUAAAGUGUCUUAUAAUGCAAGAGAAUUCUUUCCAAAUGAGGCAUAUUAAAUAUAUGAAGAGAUCAUGGACGGAUACACAAGAUUAAGGAUGGAUCCAUAAUAUCAUGGAUGGAUUCUAUUUCAUAAGGAAUCAAAAUAUAUUCAUUAAAUUAAGUGAUCUUCAAUAUAUU